This 525-nucleotide ribosomal RNA is filed under the name uncultured bacterium. Its description in RNAcentral is "partial 16S ribosomal RNA". It matches the Rfam family "Bacterial small subunit ribosomal RNA", at positions 355 to 874 of the family's 1533-position model. The record is from RNAcentral.
UGGGGAAUUUUGGACAAUGGGCGAAAGCCUGAUCCAGCAAUGCCGCGUGUGUGAAGAAGGCCUUCGGGUUGUAAAGCACUUUUGUCCGGAAAGAAAUCCUUGGCUCUAAUACAGUCGGGGGAUGACGGUACCGGAAGAAUAAGCACCGGCUAACUACGUGCCAGCAGCCGCGGUAAUACGUAGGGUGCAAGCGUUAAUCGGAAUUACUGGGCGUAAAGCGUGCGCAGGCGGUUUGCUAAGACCGAUGUGAAAUCCCCGGGCUCAACCUGGGAACUGCAUUGGUGACUGGCAGGCUAGAGUAUGGCAGAGGGGGUAGAAUUCCACGUGUAGCAGUGAAAUGCGUAGAGAUGUGGAGGAAUACCGAUGGCGAAGGCAGCCCCCUGGGCCAAUACUGACGCUCAUGCACGAAAGCGUGGGGAGCAAACAGGAUUAGAUACCCUGGUAGUCCACGCCCUAAACGAUGUCAACUAGUUGUUGGGGAUUCAUUUCCUUAGUAACGUAGCUAACGCGUGAAGUUGACCGCCU